RNAcentral lists this ribosomal RNA (589 nucleotides) under Hanseniaspora uvarum. Its description in RNAcentral is "eukaryotic LSU rRNA". It matches the Rfam family "Eukaryotic large subunit ribosomal RNA", at positions 52 to 655 of the family's 3401-position model. Lineage: Eukaryota; Fungi; Ascomycota; Saccharomycetes; Saccharomycodales; Saccharomycodaceae. The record is from RNAcentral.
GGAGGAAAAGAAACCAACUGGGAUUACCUUAGUAACGGCGAGUGAAGCGGUAAAAGCUCAAAUUUGAAAUCUGGUACUUUCAGUGCCCGAGUUGUAAUUUGUAGAAUUUGUCUUUGAUUAGGUCCUUGUCUAUGUUCCUUGGAACAGGACGUCAUAGAGGGUGAGAAUCCCGUUUGGCGAGGAUACCUUUUCUCUGUAAGACUUUUUCGAAGAGUCGAGUUGUUUGGGAAUGCAGCUCAAAGUGGGUGGUAAAUUCCAUCUAAAGCUAAAUAUUGGCGAGAGACCGAUAGCGAACAAGUACAGUGAUGGAAAGAUGAAAAGAACUUUGAAAAGAGAGUGAAAAAGUACGUGAAAUUGUUGAAAGGGAAGGGCAUUUGAUCAGACAUGGUGUUUUUUGCAUGCACUCGCCUCUCGUGGGCUUGGGCCUCUCAAAAAUUUCACUGGGCCAACAUCAAUUCUGGCAGCAGGAUAAAUCAUUAAGAAUGUAGCUACUUCGGUAGUGUUAUAGCUUUUUGGAAUACUGUUAGCCGGGAUUGAGGACUGCGCUUCGGCAAGGAUGUUGGCAUAAUGGUUAAAUGCCGCCCGUCUU